GACGAACGCUGGUGGCGUGCCUAAUACAUGCAAGUAGAACGCUGACGAGAGGAGCUUGCUCUUCUUGGGUGAGUUGCGAACGGGUGAGUAACGCGUAGGUAACCUGCCUUGUAGCGGGGGAUAACUAUUGGAAACGAUAGCUAAUACCGCAUAACAAUGGAUGACCCAUGUCAUUUAUUUGAAAGGGGCAAAUGCUCCACUACAAGAUGGACCUGCGUUGUAUUAGCUAGUAGGUGAGGUUACGGCUCACCUAGGCGACGGUACAUAGGCAACCUGAGAGGGUGGUCGGCCACCCUUGGACUUGGACCCGGCCCAGACUCCUACGGGAGGCAGCAGUAGGGGAUCUUCGGCAAUGGGGGCAACCCUUACCGAGCCACGCCGCGGGGGUGAAGGAGGUUUUCGGGUCGUAAAGCUCUGUUUUAAGUCAAGAACGAGUGUGAGAGUGGAAAGUUCACGCUGUGACGGUAGCUUACCAGAAAGGGACGGCUAACUACGUG
RNAcentral lists this ribosomal RNA (497 nucleotides) under uncultured bacterium. Its description in RNAcentral is "partial 16S ribosomal RNA". It matches the Rfam family "Bacterial small subunit ribosomal RNA", at positions 28 to 507 of the family's 1533-position model. The record is from RNAcentral.